Molecule: unclassified non-coding RNA, 400 nt
Filed under: soil metagenome
Description: partial contains 5.8S ribosomal RNA, internal transcribed spacer 2, and large subunit ribosomal RNA
Rfam family: 5.8S ribosomal RNA (bases 1-122)
Source: RNAcentral
GAUGAAGAACGUAGCGAAAUGCGAUACUUGGUGUGAAUUGCAGAAUCCCGUGAACCAUCGAGUCUUUGAACGCAAGUUGCGCCCGAAGCCAUCCGGUUGAGGGCACGUCUGCCUGGGCGUCACACACCGUUGCCCUCCUAACACCACGUGCCUUUGAGGCUGCGUCGGUUGCGAAGGCGUACAUUGGCUUCCCAUGAGAUUUGCCUUGUGGUUGGCCCAAAUUCUAGUCAUUGGCGACCAAUGCCACGACAAUUGUGGUUGUCGAACCUUCGGUGCCCCGUCGUCGGUUUUGGUCGUGCACGAUGCAAGGACCCCAACGCAUCCAACAUGAAUGCUUUCGAUGCGACCCCAGGUCAGGCGGGGCUACCCGCUGAGUUUAAGCAUAUCAAUAAGCGGAGGA